This 448-nucleotide ribosomal RNA is filed under the name uncultured bacterium. Its description in RNAcentral is "bacterial SSU rRNA". It matches the Rfam family "Bacterial small subunit ribosomal RNA", at positions 18 to 507 of the family's 1533-position model. The record is from RNAcentral.
CCUGGCUCAGUAUUAGAACGCUGGCGGUGUGCUUCACACAUGCAAGUCGAACGAGGUAGCAAUACCUAGUGGCGGACGGGUGAGUAACGCGUGGGAAUCUGCCUUUAGAUGGGGGAUAACGGGUCGAAAGACUCGCUAAUACCGCAUAUGACGAAAGUUGAAAGGAGUAAUCCGUCUAAAGAUGAGCCCGCGUCCGAUUAGCUAGUUGGUAGAGUAAAAGCCUACCAAGGCGACGAUCGGUAGCUGGUCUGAGAGGAUGAUCAGCCACAAUGGGACUGAGACACGGCCCAUACUCCUACGGGAGGCAGCAGUGGGGAAUUUUACGCAAUGGGCGAAAGCCUGACGUAGCGACACCGCGUGAGCGAAGAAGCCCCUUGGGGUGUAAAGCUCUGUCAGCUGGAACGAAAAAAUGACGGUACCAGCAGAGGAAGCAUCGGCUAACUACGUG